ACUAGUGGGCUGGGCCAUUACAUUUGGAACGAUACAGAGAAGAUUAGCAUGGCCCCCGUGCAAGGAUGACACGCAUAAAUCGAGAAAUCGUCCAAAAUUUU
This is a small nuclear RNA of Hevea brasiliensis (rubber tree), 101 nucleotides long. The record is from RefSeq and is a predicted model, not a curated record. Lineage: Eukaryota; Viridiplantae; Streptophyta; Magnoliopsida; Malpighiales; Euphorbiaceae.